Molecule: ribosomal RNA, 349 nt
Filed under: uncultured bacterium
Lineage: Bacteria
Description: bacterial SSU rRNA
Rfam family: Bacterial small subunit ribosomal RNA
Source: RNAcentral
AAUCAACGCUGGCGGCGUGCCUCAGACAUGCAAGUCGAACGCGAAAUUUCCCUUCGGGGAGAAAGUAGAGUGGCGCACGGGUGAGUAACACGUAGGUAAUUUGCCUUUGGGUGGGGAAUAACUCAGGGAAACUUGAGCUAAUACCGCAUAAUGCAGCGGCUCGACAUCGAGACAGUUGUUAAAGCGGGGAUUGGAGCAAUCCGACCUCGCGCCUAAAGAGAAGCCUGCGGCAGAUUAGCUAGUUGGUAAGGUAAUGGCUUACCAAGGCUACGAUCUGUAACCGGCCUGAGAGGGCGGUCGGUCACACUGACACUGACAUACGGGUCAGACUCCUACGGGAGGCAGCAGU